RNAcentral lists this ribosomal RNA (427 nucleotides) under uncultured Brevibacillus sp. RNAcentral describes it as "bacterial SSU rRNA". It matches the Rfam family "Bacterial small subunit ribosomal RNA", at positions 355 to 774 of the family's 1533-position model. Lineage: Bacteria; Bacillati; Bacillota; Bacilli; Caryophanales; Paenibacillaceae. The record is from RNAcentral.
UAGGGAAUUUUCCACAAUGGGCGAAAGCCUGAUGGAGCAACGCCGCGUGAACGAUGAAGGCCUUCGGGUUGUAAAGUUCUGUUGUCAGGGACGAACAAGUACCGUUCGAACAGGGCGGUACCUUGACGGUACCUGACGAGGAAGCCACGGCUAACUACGUGCCAGCAGCCGCGGUAAUACGUAGGUGGCAAGCGUUGUCCGGAAUUAUUGGGCGUAAAGCGCGCGCAGGCGGCCGGGUAAGUCUGAUGUGAAAGCCCGGGGCUCAACCCCGGUGUGCAUUGGAAACUGUCCGGCUUGAGUGCAGGAGAGGAAAGCGGUAUUCCACGUGUAGCGGUGAAAUGCGUAGAGAUGUGGAGGAACACCAGUGGCGAAGGCGGCUUUCUGGCCUGUAACUGACGCUGAGGCGCGAAAGCGUGGGGAGCAAACA